Molecule: transfer RNA, 72 nt
Filed under: Camelus bactrianus (Bactrian camel)
Lineage: Eukaryota; Metazoa; Chordata; Mammalia; Artiodactyla; Camelidae
Also listed under: 2 other names
Rfam family: tRNA
About the family: Transfer RNA (tRNA) molecules are approximately 80 nucleotides in length. Their secondary structure includes four short double-helical elements and three loops (D, anti-codon, and T loops).
Source: Rfam by way of RNAcentral
GUGGGUACAGCUCAGUGGUAGAGCAUGAGCUUAGCAUGCAUGAUGUCCUGGGUUCCAUCCCCAGCACCUCCA